CCUACGGGGGGCAGCAGUGGGGAAUAUUGGACAAUGGGCGAAAGCCUGAUCCAGCCAUGCCGCGUGUGUGAAGAAGGCCUUCGGGUUGUAAAGCACUUUCAGUGGGGAAGAAAGCCUUGGGGCUAAUACCCUCGAGGAAGGACAUCACCCACAGAAGAAGCACCGGCUAACUCCGUGCCAGCAGCCGCGGUAAUACGGAGGGUGCGAGCGUUAAUCGGAAUUACUGGGCGUAAAGCGCGCGUAGGCGGUCUGAUAAGCCGGUUGUGAAAGCCCCGGGCUCAACCUGGGAACGGCAUCCGGAACUGUCAGGCUAGAGUGCAGGAGAGGAAGGUAGAAUUCCCGGUGUAGCGGUGAAAUGCGUAGAGAUCGGGAGGAAUACCAGUGGCGAAGGCGGCCUUCUGGACUGACACUGACGCUGAGGUGCGAAAGCGUGGGUAGCAAACAGGAUUAGAUACCCGUUGUAGUC
RNAcentral lists this ribosomal RNA (466 nucleotides) under Vreelandella stevensii. RNAcentral describes it as "partial 16S ribosomal RNA". It matches the Rfam family "Bacterial small subunit ribosomal RNA", at positions 338 to 795 of the family's 1533-position model. The record is from RNAcentral. Lineage: Bacteria; Pseudomonadati; Pseudomonadota; Gammaproteobacteria; Oceanospirillales; Halomonadaceae.